GCCUUUCACCUUCUUCUGUAUCUCUUAACCCUGCUUACCUUUUUUUAUUUUUUGUUUUUUAACCCUCUUCUCCCCUACAUACAAAGCCAAUGUCAAGCAACCUCUGAAAGAGUAAAGGAUUUGUAGCCAGCACAAAGGUAAUCCAUAGCUCAGCUCUGAAGAAACAGAGCAAUCAGGAAUCUACAGGGUUAAUAUUAGCCCCUUAAGGACUGAGCCAAAUGUACACGUUUUGAUCAAAAUAAAAUGUAAACAAAACUCAGAAUUUGCUAUAUGUUUGUUCAACC
This is a non-coding RNA of Pelobates cultripes (western spadefoot toad), 284 nucleotides long. Lineage: Eukaryota; Metazoa; Chordata; Amphibia; Anura; Pelobatidae. The record is from the annotation of a GenBank genome assembly.